GAUGAAGAACGCAGCGAAAUGCGAUAAGUAAUGUGAAUUGCAGAAUUCAGUGAAUAAUCGAAUCUUUGAACGCACAUUGCGCCCGCUGGUAUUCCGGCGGGCAUGCCUGUUCGAGCGUCAUUUCAACCCUCAAGCUCUCCGGAGUUUGGUGUUGGGGCGCCUGGGGCUUUUCGACCUCAGGGCCCUCAAGUCCAUCGGCGGGACCGCCAGGACACUGAGCGCAGUAGUAUUAUUUCGCUCGGUAGGAUCUUCCACGGCGGGUCGAUCUGGCCGCUAAACCCCCCAAUUCUCACCAAAGGUUGACCUCGGAUCAGGUAGGAAUACCCGCUGAACUUAAGCAUAUCAAUAAGCGGAGGA
RNAcentral lists this unclassified non-coding RNA (357 nucleotides) under soil metagenome. Its description in RNAcentral is "partial contains 5.8S ribosomal RNA, internal transcribed spacer 2, and large subunit ribosomal RNA". The stretch from base 1 to 120 matches the Rfam family "5.8S ribosomal RNA", at positions 35 to 154 of the family's 154-position model. The record is from RNAcentral.